UCUCAAACAGGUCAGGGUGCCCCGCCCCAC
Molecule: non-coding RNA, 30 nt
Filed under: Mus musculus (house mouse)
Lineage: Eukaryota; Metazoa; Chordata; Mammalia; Rodentia; Muridae
Source: RNAcentral